UACCUACUGUGGGCUUUGGUGGGGCACCAUCCAAGGAAAGCUUAUUGGAAAUGAAGCCAAAGCAAAGGAAAUGACCAAGAGAUGAAGGGAGGAUCGUGAUCUUACUCUUUGAGCCUCUGGAUCAGUCCAUACCUGAAGCUGGAACUGUCGGUGUGAUUGCAAUCCAGUGGACCUGUGACUUCUCUUUUCGAUGCCUCUUCCCUAUGGUUGUAAAAUAGUUACCAGCUGCUCCUGGCUUCUGUCUCAUCCUCCCAACAACCUCAGCAGGGAGAUACCACUUCGCUAGAUGAUCCAACAAAACUUUAGUGAUUGUCAAGGGAAUGAGAAGGCAAGGCACAGAUGGGAGAAAACAUUUGCAAAUGACGUACCUGAUGAAACACUGUUUUCCAAAAUAGACAAAGAACUCUUAAAACUCCACAAUAAGAAAGCCUACAAUCCACAGAAUGGGCAAAGGAUCUGAACACAUUCCUCAUCAAAGAAGAUAGUCAAAUGGCAAUGUCAUCAGGGAAAUGCAAACUCAAACUUUACAGGAUUUCCUGACCAGGGAUGGAGCUUGUGUCCCCUGUAGUGGAAGUUUGGAGUCCUAACCACUGGACUGCCAGGGAAGUAUUUCUUUUUAUGGCACUGAUUAUAAUCCCUAAUUAUCUUGCUUCUGUGUUCAACUUUUCUUUCCUGCCCCUGCCCCAUCACUAGAUUAGGCUCCCUGAGAGCAGGGAGUGUGCCCCCUCUCUCCCUCCCUCCCUCCUCCCCUCCCUCCCCCUCCCCACUGGGGCUCACCAUUCUAUUCCCAGGGCUCAGCAGAGUGCCUGGUGGAUGGCAGUUAUCUUCACAAAUAUUUGUGGAAUGAAUGGAUCUUGUAU
Long non-coding RNA from Bos taurus (domestic cattle), 860 nucleotides. NCBI's taxonomy places the organism in Eukaryota, Metazoa, Chordata, Mammalia, Artiodactyla, Bovidae. The record is from Ensembl.